GACAAGGCUCCUUGCCCCUGGGUGACAAUCUCAGUUGGAGGAAGAGUCUCUUCUGUAGCUUUGCGGGGAAGGAUUAGUGAGAAGUUCAACCAUGGCUCUCUUUAGACAAAUGAUGAAAAACCUGAUUAUCUCAGCAGCACCUUCCCACCUGUUCCCAGGAGGCCAGACGUGUGAUGCCAGGAGGCACGAAUGAAGAAUGAAGACCUCACAGACCUCUUGUGACAGCCGUGCGUUCGUUCCCCACUCGGUUGCUUGGUGCCAUCAGGGCUUCAGCCUUCCGAGACGUCGCUUCUAGCAAAACAGCAAAAGUCUGAACUUCAAGUCCACUUGACAGCGCAGGAUGAAAAGACAGUUUAUUCCCCGCAAGUCCAAGAUUUAUACUGGAGUCAAGAAGAAAUAAGGGGUGAGACAGAGGCCAGGCUGGAAGAGUUUAUUCAGACACACCGUUAAAUUGUAACCUUGAUGUGAAAGUAGGUGCACUAUUUAAAACCAACUUUCACCUAGGGAAGGGUGUCAGUAGUAAUGGUUCGUGGAGCCGAUUUGGGCAGCAGUAAUGCACGUUGGAGGCAGCAAGAAAAGUGGCACGAAGUUCCGGAUCUGGAGCUGACAGGUUUCCUCCGCCCUGAGUUGUCUAAAGCUGACUUUGCAGUGUGACCUGAGCAGCAGGUGCUCUCACAGAAGGUGAGCUCUGCUGGACGCCAGCCUCGGCACGAUGGCUCUUGGAAGAUGAGAGUCUUCUUACGGUGUCACUUGGUCCUUUUGGUGGCUCAGUCACACUUCCCGCAGGAGAGGGCCAGCCUGGCUGAGCCUGUAUUUCUCCCUCCCUCAUGGAGUCCUCCUGCUCCGCUGUGGCUCCCGGAGUCCACAGACCUCUGCAUCUCCCUCCAGCAGCCCACCUCUCGUGUGCCAGGCAAUGCCUUGAUGUUAACCUUACAACCUGGUUCUAACCGAGAAGUGUUAAUAACCCCAGCUACUUACCACUCACGCACCACAAGCACUUCAGAUUCGUAGCUCAUUUCAUUUGCCCAAACCUGGAGAUGUCUGCAUAUGAUCCCCAGUUUGAGAAAGUCGGCACCGAGCAGCACAGUUUGACCUGGGUCUUAACUCAGCCCACUCUGUAACUGUGGAGAACACUACUUUUGAGAACAACCAAGAUCACCUGGUUUCAUUUCUAUGAGUUCUUUGCACAUGGAGGGAAUCAGCCCUCUGAUGUGUAUGUUACAAAUAUAUCUCCUGGUUCUUUAGGAAGACAUCUCUUCUGCCCUUAGAUAAGGGGUAGCUUUUUUCCUCUCUUGGCUGUGUGGAUAUUGUUCCCCUUGGUAUAGAAGAAGGAAUUCCUGUGUGGCAUUUGCUAGCAGGAUAUUUAGCUUUUUCAUCCAGCACCGACCUGAGUGAUGUAGCACCCUGUGCCUGUUUUCAUACAAAACACACCUUUUUCACAUGAACCAGAGAGGGAAUUCUUGGUGAUCUUCCAUGUUUUCAACACUUCAGACAAGGUUCUCAGCUGAGAUUCCGUCUUGCUUCGCUUCCUGAGGCUUAGGAUCAAUAUGGGGGCAGAGGCUGGAGAGAGUGAAGGACAUACGGCCGGAGGGUGAGGCACUGGCCAGCACACACCUGCCCAGAGCCUCACCUGUCUUGUUUUCCUCCAUGCCCCCUUAGUGGCUGGGCACAGGCCAAGGUAAAAACCCACAGGGAUGGAGAUAAGAUCUGGGAAUGCUGCACAGC
Molecule: long non-coding RNA, 1725 nt
Organism: Gorilla gorilla gorilla (western lowland gorilla)
Lineage: Eukaryota; Metazoa; Chordata; Mammalia; Primates; Hominidae
Exons: 2
Source: RefSeq, a predicted model, not a curated record